RNAcentral lists this ribosomal RNA (430 nucleotides) under uncultured bacterium. Its description in RNAcentral is "bacterial SSU rRNA". It matches the Rfam family "Bacterial small subunit ribosomal RNA", at positions 28 to 456 of the family's 1533-position model. The record is from RNAcentral.
GACGAACGCUGGCGGCGUGCUUAAUACAUGCAAGUCAACUGAACUUAAGGUAGUAAUACUUUAAGGGAGGUGGCGCACGGGUGAGUAACACGUAGGUAAUCUGCCUUUAGGUCUGACAUAAUUCCGCGAAAGCGGGACUAACUUCAGAUGAUGCAGCGGCUCGACAUCGAGACAGUUGUUAAAUCUUCGGAGCCUAAAGAUGAGCCUGCGUCUGAUUAGGUAGNGGCGGAGUAAAAGCCCACCAAGCCUGCGAUCAGUAGCUGGUCUGAGAGGAUGAUCAGCCACACUGGAACUGAGACACGGUCCAGACUCCUACGGGAGGCAGCAGUAAGGAAUAUUGCUCAAUGGCCGAAAGGCUGAAGCAGCAACGCCGCGUGGAGGAUGAAAUACUUUUGUAUGUAAACUCCUGUAAGAAGGGAAAAUAUUUCGA